GCCAGGCGUGGUGAUGCACGCCUGUAAUCCCAGCUACUCGGGAGGCUGAGGCAGGAGAAUUGCUUGAACCCAGGAGGCAGAGGUUGCAGUGAGCUGAGAUCAUACCACUGGACUCCAGCCUGGGUGACAGAGCUAGACUCUGUCUUGA
Molecule: non-coding RNA, 148 nt
Filed under: Chlorocebus sabaeus (green monkey)
Lineage: Eukaryota; Metazoa; Chordata; Mammalia; Primates; Cercopithecidae
Source: Rfam by way of RNAcentral